Molecule: microRNA precursor, 90 nt
Filed under: Canis lupus familiaris (dog)
Lineage: Eukaryota; Metazoa; Chordata; Mammalia; Carnivora; Canidae
Also listed under: 1 other name
Description: mir-8799 microRNA precursor family
Rfam family: mir-8799 microRNA precursor family
Source: Rfam by way of RNAcentral
GGGGGGAGGUCGGAUCCUGGGCUGUGUCCCGGCGCCCUGUGCUCCCGGGGCCUGCUCUGUUGGAUUCGCGCUCUGGCCGCUUAGCCCCCU